UUAAUAAAUACACAUCAGCAAUAUAGAACGAGGGCAGACCUCGCAACCUUAAAUAAUUAAAGUCUGGUGUCCCUAUGAUGAAUAACAUGACAACCGUAAAAUACUGGUCAUGGCUCGGCGUAUUCUCAGCGUCGAUCCUCUUCUGGUGUCAGCUCCUCUGGCUGGCCUUGCACUAAAUCGUAAAACCUCGCCACGGCGGGGUUUUUUGUUUUA
Molecule: small RNA, 213 nt
Filed under: Enterobacter hormaechei
Lineage: Bacteria; Pseudomonadati; Pseudomonadota; Gammaproteobacteria; Enterobacterales; Enterobacteriaceae
Also listed under: 1 other name
Description: STnc180
Rfam family: Enterobacterial sRNA STnc180
Source: RNAcentral